CCUACGGGUGGCAGCAGUGAGGAAUAUUGGUCAAUGGGCGCGAGCCUGAACCAGCCAAGUAGCGUGAAGGAUGACUGCCCUAUGGGUUGUAAACUUCUUUUAUAUGGGAAUAAAGUGCGGUACGUAUACCUCUUUGUAUGUACUUUAUGAAUAAGGAUCGGCUAACUCCGUGCCAGCAGCCGCGGUAAUACGGAGGAUCCGAGCGUUAUCCGGAUUUAUUGGGUUUAAAGGGAGCGUAGAUGGGUUGUUAAGUCAGUUGUGAAAGUUUGCGGCUCAACCGUAAAAUUGCAUUUGAUACUGGCAUCCUUGAGUACAGUAGAGGUAGGCGGAAUUCGUGGUGUAGCGGUGAAAUGCUUAGAUAUCACGAAGAACUCCGAUUGCGAAGGCAGCCUGCUAAACUGCAACUGACGUUGAUGCUCGAAAGUGUGGGUAUCAAACAGGAUUAGAUACCCCUGUAGUC
RNAcentral lists this ribosomal RNA (460 nucleotides) under uncultured bacterium. RNAcentral describes it as "partial 16S ribosomal RNA". It matches the Rfam family "Bacterial small subunit ribosomal RNA", at positions 338 to 795 of the family's 1533-position model. The record is from RNAcentral.